GAGAGUUUGAUCCUGGCUCAGAUUGAACGCUGGCGGCAGGCUUAACACAUGCAAGUCGAGCGGGGAGAUGUAGCUUGCUACAUUUCCUAGCGGCGGACGGGUGAGUAAUGCUUAGGAAUCUGCCUAUUAGUGGGGGAUAACAUUCCGAAAGGAAUGCUAAUACCGCAUACGUCCUACGGGAGAAAGCAGGGGAUCUUCGGACCUUGCGCUAAUAGAUGAGCCUAAGUCAGAUUAGCUAGUUGGUGGGGUAAAGGCCUACCAAGGCGACGAUCUGUAGCGGGUCUGAGAGGAUGAUCCGCCACACUGGGACUGAGACACGGCCCAGACUCCUACGGGAGGCAGCAGUGGGGAAUAUUGGACAAUGGGCGCAAGCCUGAUCCAGCCAUGCCGCGUGUGUGAAGAAGGCCUUUUGGUUGUAAAGCACUUUAAGCGAGGAGGAGGCUACUUGGAUUAAUACUCUAGGAUAGUGGACGUUACUCGCAGAAUAAGCACCGGCUAACUCUGUGCCAGCAGUCGCGGUAAUACAGAGGGUGCGAGCGUUAAUCGGAUUUACUGGGCGUAAAGCGUGCGUAGGCGGCUUUUUAAGUCGGAUGUGAAAUCCCUGAGCUUAACUUAGGAAUUGCAUUCGAUACUGGGAAGCUAGAGUAUGGGAGAGGAUGGUAGAAUUCCAGGUGUAGCGGUGAAAUGCGUAGAGAUCUGGAGGAAUACCGAUGGCGAAGGCAGCCAUCUGGCCUAAUACUGACGCUGAGGUACGAAAGCAUGGGGAGCAAACAGGAUUAGAUACCCUGGUAGUCCAUGCCCGUAAACGAUGUCUACUAGCCGUUGGGGCCCUUUGAGGCUUUAGUGGCGCAGCUUAACGCGAUAAGUA
This 868-nucleotide ribosomal RNA is filed under the name uncultured bacterium. Its description in RNAcentral is "bacterial SSU rRNA". It matches the Rfam family "Bacterial small subunit ribosomal RNA", at positions 8 to 866 of the family's 1533-position model. The record is from RNAcentral.